Molecule: ribosomal RNA, 517 nt
Filed under: Earleria panicula
Lineage: Eukaryota; Metazoa; Cnidaria; Hydrozoa; Leptothecata; Mitrocomidae
Description: partial 16S ribosomal RNA
Rfam family: Bacterial large subunit ribosomal RNA
Source: RNAcentral
GUAGAAAUAAUAAUUCUUAAAAAAACUAAAAGGACGCGGUAACCUUGACCGUGAUAAUGUAGCAUAAUCACUCGCCAUUUAAUUGAUGGAUAGUAUGAAUGGUUGAACGAAUAUUCCCCUGUCUUAGACAAAAUAAUAAAAAAUUGAAAUAAUAGUUAAGAUGCUAUUUUUUACUGUAAGACGAAAAGACCCUAUAGAGCUUAACUAUAACCUUUUUAUAUAAAAAGAAAAUAAAUUCUAUACUUAAAAAGGUUGGUAGUUUAGUUGGGGCGACUGUCUUCUAUAUUGAACGAAGACAAGCAAUGUUAAUAAAAAACUUAUUGUAUAACAAAAAUGUUUAACAAUUAUAAAAAUAGGCUAUAAUGACCCGUUAAUACUUAAUAAAAAGAAUAACGAUUAAUUAAUAAAAGCUACCUUAGGGAUAACAGGAUUAUUUCAUUUCAGAGUUCAUAUCAAAAAUGAAGUUUGUCACCUCUAUGUUGAAUUAAGAUAUCCUGAUAAUGCAGAAGUUAUCAAA